This 372-nucleotide ribosomal RNA is filed under the name Kingella kingae. RNAcentral describes it as "bacterial SSU rRNA". It matches the Rfam family "Bacterial small subunit ribosomal RNA", at positions 161 to 528 of the family's 1533-position model. Lineage: Bacteria; Pseudomonadati; Pseudomonadota; Betaproteobacteria; Neisseriales; Neisseriaceae. The record is from RNAcentral.
GGCUAAUACCGCAUACGCUUUGAGAAGGAAAGCAGGGGAUCUUCGGACCUUGCGUUAUUCGAGCGGCCAAUAACUGAUUAGCUAGUUGGUGGGGUAAGGGCCCACCAAGGCUACGAUCAGUAGUGGGUCUGAGAGGAUGAUCCGCCACACUGGGACUGAGACACGGCCCAGACUCCUACGGGAGGCAGCAGUGGGGAAUUUUGGACAAUGGGCGAAAGCCUGAUCCAGCCAUGCCGCGUGUCUGAAGAAGGCCUUCGGGUUGUAAAGGACUUUUGUUAGGGAAGAAAAGGUUGAUGCUAAUAUCAUUAACUGAUGACGGUACCUAAAGAAUAAGCACCGGCUAACUACGUGCCAGCAGCCGCGGUAAUACGU